GGUUGUAUGGCGCAAUAGUAACGCGUUCGCUUUCGUAGCGGAAGGUUUUGGGUUUAACUUCCGGUGCAACCU
Transfer RNA from Gaeumannomyces graminis, 72 nucleotides. It matches the Rfam family "tRNA". From Rfam's summary of the family: Transfer RNA (tRNA) molecules are approximately 80 nucleotides in length. Their secondary structure includes four short double-helical elements and three loops (D, anti-codon, and T loops). The record is from Rfam. Lineage: Eukaryota; Fungi; Ascomycota; Sordariomycetes; Magnaporthales; Magnaporthaceae.